RNAcentral lists this ribosomal RNA (751 nucleotides) under uncultured bacterium. RNAcentral's name for it is "bacterial SSU rRNA". It matches the Rfam family "Bacterial small subunit ribosomal RNA", at positions 8 to 755 of the family's 1533-position model. The record is from RNAcentral.
AGAGUUUGAUCCUGGCUCAGAUUGAACGCUGGCGGCAUGCCUUACACAUGCAAGUCGAACGGCAGCACGGGAGCAAUCCUGGUGGCGAGUGGCGAACGGGUGAGUAACAUAUCGGAACGUGCCCGGUAGUGGGGGAUAACCCGGCGAAAGUCGGACUAAUACCGCAUACGACCUACGGGUGAAAGCGGGGGAUCGCAAGACCUCGCGCUAUUGGAGCGGCCGAUAUCAGAUUAGCUAGUUGGUGGGGUAAAGGCCUACCAAGGCGACGAUCUGUAGCUGGUCUGAGAGGACGACCAGCCACACUGGGACUGAGACACGGCCCAGACUCCUACGGGAGGCAGCAGUGGGGAAUUUUGGACAAUGGGCGCAAGCCUGAUCCAGCCAUGCCGCGUGCGGGAAGAAGGCCUUCGGGUUGUAAACCGCUUUUGUCAGGGAAGAAACGGUUUGGGUUAAUACCUCGAACUAAUGACGGUACCUGAAGAAUAAGCACCGGCUAACUACGUGCCAGCAGCCGCGGUAAUACGUAGGGUGCAAGCGUUAAUCGGAAUUACUGGGCGUAAAGCGUGCGCAGGCGGUCAUGCAAGACAGAUGUGAAAUCCCCGGGCUCAACCUGGGAACUGCAUUUGUGACUGCAUGACUUGAGUACGGCAGAGGGGGAUGGAAUUCCGCGUGUAGCAGUGAAAUGCGUAGAUAUGCGGAGGAACACCGAUGGCGAAGCAAUCCCCUGGGCCUGUACUGACGCUCAUGCACG